This 252-nucleotide ribosomal RNA is filed under the name uncultured bacterium. RNAcentral describes it as "partial 16S ribosomal RNA". It matches the Rfam family "Bacterial small subunit ribosomal RNA", at positions 524 to 776 of the family's 1533-position model. The record is from RNAcentral.
UACGGAGGAUGCGAGCGUUAUCCGGAUUUAUUGGGUUUAAAGGGUGCGUAGGCGGGAUGCCAAGUCAGCGGUAAAAAUGCGGUGCUCAACGCCGUCGAGCCGUUGUAACUGGCGUUCUUGAGUGGGCGAGAAGUAUGCGGAAUGCGUGGUGUAGCGGUGGAAUGCAUAGAUAUCACGCAGAACUCCGAUUGCGAAGGCAGCAUACCGGCGCCCUACUGACGCUGAGGCACGAAAGCGUGGGUAUCGAACAGG